GACGAACGCUGGCGGCGUGCUUAACACAUGCAAGUCGAACGGAAAGGCCCUGCUUUUGUGGGGUGCUCGAGUGGCGAACGGGUGAGUAACACGUGAGUAACCUGCCCUUGACUUUGGGAUAACUUCAGGAAACUGGGGCUAAUACCGGAUAGGAGCUCCUGCUGCAUGGUGGGGGUUGGAAAGUUUCGGCGGUUGGGGAUGGACUCGCGGCUUAUCAGCUUGUUGGUGGGGUAGUGGCUUACCAAUGCUUUGACGGGUAGCCGGCCUGAGAGGGUGACCGGCCACAUUGGGACUGAGGUACGGCCCGUACUCCUACGGGAGGCAGCAGUGGGGAAUAUUGCACGAUGGGCGGAAGCCUGAUGCAGCAACGCCGCGUGCGGGAUGACGGCCGUCGGGUUGUAAACCGCUUUCGCCUGUGACGAAGCGUGAGUGACGGUAAUGGGUAAAGAAGCACCGGCUAACUACGUG
RNAcentral lists this ribosomal RNA (468 nucleotides) under uncultured bacterium. RNAcentral describes it as "partial 16S ribosomal RNA". It matches the Rfam family "Bacterial small subunit ribosomal RNA", at positions 28 to 507 of the family's 1533-position model. The record is from RNAcentral.